GCUGGCACUGAUUGGGUCACACCUGAAACUUAUGACCUUCCAGAUGAACACAGUACUGGGACUUGCCCAAGACCCACAGCCACUACUUCCUGCCUGCCUGCUGCUGCUGUUUAUUCAAGACCAAAGAAGGGCACUUUAGAUCAAUAAAUGUCCACAGGACAAAAGCAGUGCCAACUGUGGGGCUCACCUUCCUGGAUUCCUGUCUUCUUCCUAGAUCUUGGUCCGAUGAAUUAUGUAUCUGAAAUGGCUGGCAACCUCAGCUGCAGGACACUUUGAGGAGACGGCUGAUUGCAGAUCUAGGGCAGAGAAUGAAUAAGGUCAUUCUUCCUGCUUUGAUCAAGCAAUCAUCAUGUCCCUUUAGUUGACAGUCAGUAUUAACCAUCGCAGGAGGAGAGCAUGAGCUACCUUCCAGACCUGCUUCUCCAAGAACACAGUGAACUUGGCCCGGCAGAGCUGUGGUUUGUGUCCACCCCCAUAGCUUAUGUCCUUUGAUGUUCCGCCUGACUAAUGGCCUGUCCAUUCUCCUUCAGGACACAUAAGGUGAUGUCUUCCUGUUCUUCCUAAUGGCAUUUUUGGCCCACUACUAUGAAAAAAGAUCACAUUAAUACAUAAACUGCCCCAUGGAACAGAUUCUAACUUGGAGAUAUGAUUUAAAAGCUCUAUAUAACCCUCAAAUAUCUUUAAGAAAGGUCACUUAAAUUCCUACUGAGAUUUUUUUCAGUGGUCUUCCAGAAAAAAAGAAAAAUUAAUUUUUACCUGGAAGCAGUAGUGCAUUGGCGUAGUUUAUUAGAGCUGUUUAGCCCACUAUCAUGAAAAAACUUAUUUGAUCAUCAUUUUCUUAUCUAGCAUAUCAGAGGUCCUUGAGGAAAUUGGAAACGGGCAGGUAGGAAAUCGGAUGGGGUGAUGUAAGGAUGAAACUGAUUGUGCAUUAGGGUUUUAUUCUACUCUGGAUAGAGAAGGUUGCUGAAGAAACUCAUGAAAUCUUUAUGAGCGUGUGUGUAUGUGUCUCCAAGCACAGGGAGGUACUGAAGACUCAUGAAUAAUAGAACUGGAGCUAAAAGAAGGUAUUACAUGCGAAAAAUAUAUGGAUUAAGGGCAUUAGACACAAACAUCUGCCUGCUUCACAAUACUGUCCAGGGUUGGCCUGAAGGGUAAGAAGCAGGCCUGCCUCUAACAUUUGUGGGGCUGAGUAAGGAUCACAUUAAUGCCCUAAUUACAUAUAUCUAAAUAUUUAAAAGGUAUACAUUAAACCAAUGAACUAUUAAGUAAAAUCUGUUUCUUUCUUUUUUUUUUUUUUUUUUCAUU
RNAcentral lists this long non-coding RNA (1305 nucleotides) under Homo sapiens (human). Its description in RNAcentral is "HSALNT0301536". The record is from RNAcentral. Lineage: Eukaryota; Metazoa; Chordata; Mammalia; Primates; Hominidae.